AUGAACGCUGGCGGCGUGUUUAAGGCAUGCAAGUUGAACGAGCCCUAUAGCAAUAUAUGGCAAGUGGCAAACGGGAGCGUAACACAUUGGUAACGUACCCUUGCGUCGUGAAUAAUCCGGCGAAAGCCGGACUAAUACACGAUACGGAUGGGGGGUCUUCGGACAUUCCCAUUGAAAGAUUUAUCGCGCGAGGAGCGGCCUAUGUUCGAUCAGCUAGUUGGUAGGGUAACGGCCUACCAAGGCUACGACCGAUACCGGGUGUGAGAGCACGACCCGGCUCACUGGGACUGAGACACUGCCCAGACACCUACGGGUGGCUGCAGUCGAGAAUAUUCCACAAUGGACGAAAGUCUGAUGGAGCGACGCCGCGUGCCAGAUGAAGCCCUUCGGGGUGUAAAUGGCUUUUGGCAGGGACGAAUUCGUGACGGUACCUGCAGAAUAAGGGGUUGCUAACUCUGU
This 459-nucleotide ribosomal RNA is filed under the name uncultured bacterium. Its description in RNAcentral is "bacterial SSU rRNA". It matches the Rfam family "Bacterial small subunit ribosomal RNA", at positions 29 to 506 of the family's 1533-position model. The record is from RNAcentral.